UACAGAGGUGGCAAGCGUUGUUCGGAAUUACUGGGCGUAAAGGGCGCGUAGGCGGUUCGUUAAGUCCUGUGUGAAAUCCCCCGGCUCAACUGGGGAACUGCACAGGAAACUAGCGGGCUUGAGUUCGGGAGAGGGAAGCGGAAUUCCGGGUGUAGCGGUGAAAUGCGUAGAUAUCCGGAGGAACACCGGUGGCGAAGGCGGCUCCUGGACCGACACUGACGCUGAGGCGCGAAAGCUAGGGGAGCAAACGGG
RNAcentral lists this ribosomal RNA (252 nucleotides) under uncultured bacterium. RNAcentral describes it as "partial 16S ribosomal RNA". It matches the Rfam family "Bacterial small subunit ribosomal RNA", at positions 524 to 776 of the family's 1533-position model. The record is from RNAcentral.